CCUACGGGUGGCAGCAGUGGGGAAUAUUGGACAAUGGGGGGAACCCUGAUCCAGCCAUGCCGCGUGUGUGAAGAAGGCCCUCGGGUUGUAAAGCACUUUCAGUGAGGAAGAACGCCUGGUGGUUAAUACCCAUCAGGAAAGACAUCACUCACAGAAGAAGCACCGGCUAACUCCGUGCCAGCAGCCGCGGUAAUACGGAGGGUGCGAGCGUUAAUCGGAAUUACUGGGCGUAAAGCGCGCGUAGGUGGCUUGAUAAGCCGGUUGUGAAAGCCCCGGGCUCAACCUGGGAACGGCAUCCGGAACUGUCAAGCUAGAGUGCAGGAGAGGAAGGUAGAAUUCCCGGUGUAGCGGUGAAAUGCGUAGAGAUCGGGAGGAAUACCAGUGGCGAAGGCGGCCUUCUGGACUGAUACUGACACUGAGGUGCGAAAGCGUGGGUAGCAAACAGGAUUAGAUACCCCAGUAGUC
This 465-nucleotide ribosomal RNA is filed under the name Vreelandella stevensii. Its description in RNAcentral is "partial 16S ribosomal RNA". It matches the Rfam family "Bacterial small subunit ribosomal RNA", at positions 338 to 795 of the family's 1533-position model. Lineage: Bacteria; Pseudomonadati; Pseudomonadota; Gammaproteobacteria; Oceanospirillales; Halomonadaceae. The record is from RNAcentral.